UUCCCGGAAUUAUUGGGCGUAAGCGCGCGCAGGCGGUUUCUUAAGUCUGAUGUGAAAGCCCCCGGCUCAACCGGGGAGGGUCAUUGGAAACUGGGGAACUUGAGUGCAGAAGAGGAGAGUGGAAUUCCACGUGUAGCGGUGAAAUGCGUAGAGAUGUGGAGGAACACCAGUGGCGAAGGCGACUCUCUGGUCUGUAACUGACGCUGAGGCGCGAAAGCGUGGGGAGCGAACAGGAUUAGAUACCCUGGUAGUCCACGCCGUAAACGAUGAGUGCUAAGUGUUAGAGGGUUUCCGCCCUUUAGUGCUGCAGCAAACGCAUUAAGCACUCCGCCUGGGGAGUACGGUCGCAAGACUGAAACUCAAAGGAAUUGACGGGGGCCCGCACAAGCGGUGGAGCAUGUGGUUUAAUUCGAAGCAACGCGAAGAACCUUACCAGGUCUUGACAUCCUCUGACAACCCUAGAGAUAGGGCUUCCCCUUCGGGGACAGAGUGACAGGUGGUGCAUGGUUGUCGUCAGCUCGUGUCGUGAGAUGUUGGGUUAAGUCCCGCAACGAGCGCAACCCUUGAUCUUAGUUGCCAGCAUUCAGUUGGGCACUCUAAGGUGACUGCCGGUGACAAACCGGAGGAAGGUGGGGAUGACGUCAAAUCAUCAUGCCCCUUAUGACCUGGGCUACACACGUGCUACAAUGGGCAGAACAAAGGGCAGCGAAGCCGCGAGGCUAAGCCAAUCCCACAAAUCUGUUCUCAGUUCGGAUCGCAGUCUGCAACUCGUGUGCGUGAAGCUGGAAUCGCUAGUAAUCGCGGAUCAGCAUGCCCGCGGUGAAUACGUUCCCGGGCCCUUGUACACACCGCCCGUCACACCACGAGAGUUUUGUAACACCCCGAAGUCGGUGAGGUAACCCUUUUGGAGCCCAGCCGCCGAGGUGGGACAGAUGAUUGGGGUUGAAUUCGUAACAAGGGUUAACCAGAUA
This 971-nucleotide ribosomal RNA is filed under the name Bacillus licheniformis. RNAcentral's name for it is "bacterial SSU rRNA". It matches the Rfam family "Bacterial small subunit ribosomal RNA", at positions 542 to 1533 of the family's 1533-position model. The record is from RNAcentral. Lineage: Bacteria; Bacillati; Bacillota; Bacilli; Caryophanales; Bacillaceae.